GGGACACGUGGUAUCCUGUCUGAAUAUGGGGGGACCAUCCUCCAAGGCUAAAUACUCCUGACUGACCGAUAGUGAACCAGUACCGUGAGGGAAAGGCGAAAAGAACCCCGGCGAGGGGAGUGAAAAAGAACCUGAAACCGUGUACGUACAAGCAGUGGGAGCACCUUCGGGUGUGACUGCGUACCUUUUGUAUAAUGGGUCAGCGACUUAUAUUCUGUAGCAAGGUUAACCGUAUAGGGGAGCCGCAGGGAAACCGAGUCUUAACUGGGCGUUAAGUUGCAGGGUAUAGACCCGAAACCCGGUGAUCUAGCCAUGGGCAGGUUGAAGGUUGGGUAACACUAACUGGAGGACCGAACCGACUAAUGUUGAAAAAUUAGCGGAUGACUUGUGGCUGGGGGUGAAAGGCCAAUCAAACCGGGAGAUAGCUGGUUCUCCCCGAAAGCUAUU
This 447-nucleotide ribosomal RNA is filed under the name Klebsiella pneumoniae. RNAcentral's name for it is "partial 23S ribosomal RNA". It matches the Rfam family "Bacterial large subunit ribosomal RNA", at positions 419 to 870 of the family's 2925-position model. RNAcentral also lists the same sequence under 1 other name. The record is from RNAcentral. Lineage: Bacteria; Pseudomonadati; Pseudomonadota; Gammaproteobacteria; Enterobacterales; Enterobacteriaceae.